Molecule: ribosomal RNA, 521 nt
Filed under: Mucilaginibacter sp. L196
Lineage: Bacteria; Pseudomonadati; Bacteroidota; Sphingobacteriia; Sphingobacteriales; Sphingobacteriaceae
Description: bacterial SSU rRNA
Rfam family: Bacterial small subunit ribosomal RNA
Source: RNAcentral
GGUAAUACGGAGGAUCCAAGCGUUAUCCGGAUUUAUUGGGUUUAAAGGGUGCGUAGGUGGCCUGUUAAGUCAGGGGUGAAAGACGGUAGCUUAACUAUCGCAGUGCCCUUGAUACUGAUGGGCUUGAAUGAACUAGAGGUAGGCGGAAUGUGACAAGUAGCGGUGAAAUGCAUAGAUAUGUCACAGAACACCAAUUGCGAAGGCAGCUUACUAUGGUUUUAUUGACACUGAGGCACGAAAGCGUGGGGAUCAAACAGGAUUAGAUACCCUGGUAGUCCACGCCCUAAACGAUGAAUACUCGAUGUUGGCGAUAUACGGUCAGCGUCUAAGCGAAAGCGUUAAGUAUUCCACCUGGGGAGUACGCCCGCAAGGGUGAAACUCAAAGGAAUUGACGGGGGCCCGCACAAGCGGAGGAGCAUGUGGUUUAAUUCGAUGAUACGCGAGGAACCUUACCCGGGCUUGAAAGUUAGUGAAUGAUACAGAGACGUAUCAGUCCUUCGGGACACGAAACUAGGUGCUGC